RNAcentral lists this ribosomal RNA (235 nucleotides) under uncultured bacterium. RNAcentral describes it as "partial 16S ribosomal RNA". It matches the Rfam family "Bacterial small subunit ribosomal RNA", at positions 349 to 585 of the family's 1533-position model. The record is from RNAcentral.
UAGCAGUGGGGAAUAUUGCACAAUGGGCGAAAGCCUGAUGCAGCGACGCCGCGUGAGGGAUGACGGCCUUCGGGUUGUAAACCUCUUUCAGUAGGGAACAAGGCCAGUGUUUAGCUGGUUGAGGGUACUUGCAGAAGAAGCGCCGGCUAACUACGUGCCAGCAGCCGCGGUAAUACGUAGGGCGCAAGCGUUAUCCGGAAUUAUUGGGCGUAAAGAGCUCGUAGACGGUUUGUCG